CCGGAAUGACCAAUCAGAGCUGGAGUCCUGAGGAACGAACCACCGGUUUAGCCAAUCAGUAGAGCGCCCGAUCUUCUCCUCCCACCCCGCAUCCCUAAUCAAGUUGGUCUGUAAAGUGCUGAUGUGAAGGGUGGCGAGCAAGCGAUGUAAUAAUUCAAUCACCACAGAAUGAAUGAAUAAAUAAAUGUGUAUGAUACAGCGCGGAAUAAAUUAAAAUAAUUAAUCUAGAGGAGAAUCCCCAAGCCGCCCAAUCUGGGGCAUUUCACUAAUUUUCACUCAUUCAAGAGCUUGGUGCUGACUGAUAUUCAGGCUCGCCUGGUUCAAUCCAGCGAAACUUCCCGGACCGAGACGAACCCGAACCGAACGGUGGCCGAGCCCGAGCCCGAGCCCGAGCCCGAGCCCGAGCGGAGGAACCAACAGGGACAGCCCAGCCGAGACAAGCUGGCAGGCAGCAGCAGCCGCCGUCCUACCCGACUCGCGAGAAUAUACCUGCUCGUUUUCACUGCGUGGCUUUUUUUUUCCUCUGCUUGUUCUCUUCUUUUUUUCUUCUUCACAUCAGACACAACUUUAAAAAGUAAAACAAAAAGGGAGAGAGAGGAUUGGAAAAUCGAUUUAGCAGGACCCGUGGCGAAGCUAGGGCAAAGGUGGAAUCCUCAGUGACCCGAACCCCCAACCGGGACUGCAUGAGGGAAAGUGGUGACAUAAGGGAGGCAAAGGCACGGAAACCUCGGCGCAUUUCAAAAGACUGGUGUAAAUUGUUUAAUGGUUUGUUUUUAAUUUCAAGAAACUACUGUAUUAAAAAAAUACUGACAACGAGGAAGCUGGAACCUGUUUUCUUCCCCCUUACUAACGCGCCAGUGAGAAAAGGAAGAUUUGCAUUGAACCUCCAGUGUGUUUAGACAGAAAAUCAAAAGGAAGCAGUUGAAGUUGUUGGAAGAUUUGUUGGGAGAAACGGCGUCUCUUCAUUAGUGCUUGGCAUGAAAUAACACUACAAAACAUCUCAUCCGACCUCGAUUUUAUCUCUCCGGAGUAGUGAGCAGCCUCCUCCUCUUCUUUCUCCUCCUCUUCCUCAUCAUGCUGCUGCCGCCUCUGCCGUGAGGGCUCGAUCAGCUUUUUCGAUACGUUUUCCCCUGUGGGAUUUUGUACCCUCUUGUGAGUUUUUAAAGAGAAUGAAACAAAAAGGCCUUCCGAUCGCGUAAGGACAGCUCCUGAACGUGGAUUAGAGACUGUUCUGUAAGGACACAUGGCGAAAACCAAAGAGAAACGCGUUUGGAAGGAAAUGUAUGGCGAUUUUCGUUCAGUACCCGCAGAACACAUCGGCCGCAAGGACGAUCGCGACAAGCCCAACGCCAAGUUAGAGGACCCGGAAAAUGACAGAGGAAAACUCGAGAGUUUGAAAGUUGUCGAUUCGCACUGUUUGGGAAGUGGGAAGAAG
This is a non-coding RNA of Chiloscyllium plagiosum (whitespotted bambooshark), 1435 nucleotides long. The record is from RefSeq and is a predicted model, not a curated record. Lineage: Eukaryota; Metazoa; Chordata; Chondrichthyes; Orectolobiformes; Hemiscylliidae.